Molecule: transfer RNA, 87 nt
Filed under: Gammaproteobacteria bacterium
Lineage: Bacteria; Pseudomonadati; Pseudomonadota; Gammaproteobacteria
Also listed under: 2 other names
Description: tRNA-Leu
Rfam family: tRNA
About the family: Transfer RNA (tRNA) molecules are approximately 80 nucleotides in length. Their secondary structure includes four short double-helical elements and three loops (D, anti-codon, and T loops). Further hydrogen bonds mediate the characteristic L-shaped molecular structure. tRNAs have two regions of fundamental functional importance: the anti-codon, which is responsible for specific mRNA codon recognition, and the 3' end, to which the tRNAs corresponding amino acid is attached (by aminoacyl-tRNA synthetases). tRNAs cope with the degeneracy of the genetic code in two manners: having more than one tRNA (with a specific anti-codon) for a particular amino acid; and 'wobble' base-pairing, i.e. permitting non-standard base-pairing at the 3rd anti-codon position.
Source: RNAcentral
GCCGGAGUGGCGAAAUUGGUAGACGCAGGGGAUUCAAAAUCCCCCGGUGGCAACACCUUGCCGGUUCGAGUCCGGCCUCCGGUACCA